Molecule: unclassified non-coding RNA, 2492 nt
Filed under: Hevea brasiliensis (rubber tree)
Lineage: Eukaryota; Viridiplantae; Streptophyta; Magnoliopsida; Malpighiales; Euphorbiaceae
Source: RNAcentral
GGAGGCCAGUCUUUUGCCUAUUUUAAAAAAUGAAAGAGUAAUAUUCUCUUCUGAGUUGUGUCCACCAAAUUAGCCUUCCCAUUCCCGUCCGUCGUUCCUCUUCUUCUUCUGGCUCUUUAGGGUUUUGAUUGAAGAGAAAAGAAAAGAUAAACGGUUUCUUUUCUGUCCAGUAAGCGGAUGGGAUCUUUUUCUUUUAUGUUUAUAUGAAUUGAAUCAGAAAGGGAGUUCAGCAAUUUGGUAACAUCCUACAUGUUAUUGCAGACUUUUUUGAGAUGUGUCUAAAAUGCGAUGAAUGCUCUCAUAUUGGUUCCACAAAAAUUGCACCAUUCACUGAGGGAAAAAAGAGCGCUGAUCAUUCGUGCCUGUUAAAUUUUACUACGAGUCCUUACCAAUCAACUAUCGGUACAAUGUCUGAAAGUUCUGCACCUAAUUUUGUAUAUAGAAGAAGGAAGCAACGAGGAAACUCUGUUGCCAUUUUCUCGGCACAGGUCCGUGAAAGCACAAAGAGAAGUGGAGAUGAGUGUCUCUCUGUUGUCAGUUCUGAUGCUCCUUCUAUUGCAGUUAAGGAGCGACAAAUAGUUUCUCAAGGUGAGAAUGCUAUUGGAGCUACUGUCAUACCUAUUAAUGGAUGUUCACUGGCAGAAGAACAGGGUUCUGAUGAAUCAUCCAAUAAUAGUGGGCAGAAAAUCAUUGAGGUUGACAGUAUAAAUGACAGUUGCUCAUCAUCAAAGUCUGAUAUGGAACUUGUUUCAGCUUCUAUGCAGACUGAAGUGGACAAUACUGGUGAGUGCUCCUCAUCCAGUGUAAAGGUAGUAGAGGUCAUCGGGGAAGAUUUAUCAGAAAAGGAUUUAUGUGUCUCUAUAAUUAGAAGCCAGGGUGUGCUUGAAGGAGUUUGGCCUAGCAGGACUCAUGCCUCUGCUGAAGAUGUUGGUGAUAGUAGUGCUAGCAGCAAUUCUCGGUCUUGCAAAAUUUGUGCUCAUCCAGAGUCUCCUCUUAAGAUGAUAAUUUGUGAUAAUUGUGAAGAGGCAUUUCAUCUAUCUUGCUGCAACCCUCGUGUAAAAAGAAUACCGGUUGAUGAUUGGUUUUGUCAUUCAUGUUCAAAGAAGCGUCGCAAAAUCCUUAAAGAGAAAAUUUCUAGAUCUCCUAAUAUGAUUGGUGAAAAGGGUAGAUGUGGAAAUUUUUCUACAAUUGAAUCAAAUCCAAUAGCAUUGAUGUUGAGAGAUACUGGGUCAUAUAAAACCAGUGUCAGAAUUGGAAAAGGUUUUCAAGCAGAUGUUCCAGACUGGUCAGGUCCAAUUACUAAUGAUGAAGAUGCAUUUGGUGAGGCUUUGGAACUGGAUCCAUCAGAUUUUGUUAGUAUGACUGAUUUGAAGUCAAACAAGCCAUCUAAACUUGGCGCUAUUGGUAACUGGCUUCAGUGUAAAGAGGUUAUAGAUGGUGCAGGAGAAAGUACUAUAUGUGGAAAGUGGCGCAGGGCUCCUUUGUUUGAUGUCCAAACUGAUGACUGGGAAUGCUUCUGUUCCUUUCUUUGGGACCCUAUUCAUGCUGAUUGUGCUGUACCCCAGGUGAUUAACUUGCCAAUUUUGAUGUUUUUCUAUCUGUAUUUGGUUUUUCCCCUUCUGUAUAUUGAAAACACAUUUUGCAUUUUAAUUGAUAUUAUUUCAACCUCAACUUGGUUAUGUUUACAUGGUGUUUAACUCCCCCUGUAAAGCCUACAAAAGUAUCUUAAUGAGGGAAACAGGCCUUGCAAAUUCAACCAUCAUAAUUCAGAGUUCUAAAAAUGAAUCUAUGUUGGUGUCAUGUAGAAUUUUUUACAUACUGGUUCUCAUGAACCAGCCAGUGGUAUAAGUUGAAUUACUUAAAUAGAUGAUUGGUAACUGGAUCAAAACCAUCUUGGGGGAGGGCUGGUCCUGGUCCUCCCUCCUCGAACCAGACCGGACCAGAACCAGUGGUCUGGUCUGGUCUGGUUCGAACUUGCCUCUUAACAAAAAAUGAAAAAUUUUCAACUGUUGGAUUGAUUCAACCAGAUUUAACCAGAAUCAAACUGGAACCAGAACUGGGCCCCCUAUGGUCUGGUUCAGGGCCUUUGGUUCUGCAGAACUGGACCAGACCUAGCCAGUGGUUGCCUCUACUUCCGUGUGUACUUGCUGUAUCUUUGUAAUGGUGUACCAGCAGUGUUGCUUCUCAUUUCUUCCAUUAGAGUUACUGAAUUUGUUGUAGCAUUGAUCACCUACAUUUAAAAUGGAUGCAUUUCAUCAGCCUGGCAUUGAAUUAGUUUAGUGAAAAUUUCAUUUUUGGUUGCUGUUAGCCAAUUUUCUUGAUUAGAUCAUGUAUUUCUUUAACAAGCUUGCUGCAGAAGAGUUGAGUCGGUUCAGCAGUUAAUGGUAUAUUCAAGUUAUUGUUGCUUUCUGCACUAUCGUUAAAAUUUUUUGGUUAUCAUCAAAUAUUAUUUUAUCUUUAGUGGCUUUAUAUGGAUGAUUUAAUGCAAAGCA